GAGGGUGUAGCUCAGACAUAGAGUGUGUGCUUAGCAUUCACAAGUCCUGGGUUUAAUUCCCAGUACUUCCA
Molecule: transfer RNA, 71 nt
Filed under: Camelus bactrianus (Bactrian camel)
Lineage: Eukaryota; Metazoa; Chordata; Mammalia; Artiodactyla; Camelidae
Also listed under: 2 other names
Rfam family: tRNA
About the family: Transfer RNA (tRNA) molecules are approximately 80 nucleotides in length. Their secondary structure includes four short double-helical elements and three loops (D, anti-codon, and T loops).
Source: Rfam by way of RNAcentral